Molecule: ribosomal RNA, 1009 nt
Filed under: Paraburkholderia sediminicola
Lineage: Bacteria; Pseudomonadati; Pseudomonadota; Betaproteobacteria; Burkholderiales; Burkholderiaceae
Description: bacterial SSU rRNA
Rfam family: Bacterial small subunit ribosomal RNA
Source: RNAcentral
AGUCGAACGGCAGCACGGGAGCAAUCCUGGUGGCGAGUGGCGAACGGGUGAGUAAUACAUCGGAACGUGUCCUGUAGUGGGGGAUAGCCCGGCGAAAGCCGGAUUAAUACCGCAUACGCUCUGCGGAGGAAAGCGGGGGAUCCUUCGGGACCUCGCGCUACAGGGGCGGCCGAUGGCAGAUUAGCUAGUUGGUGGGGUAAAGGCCUACCAAGGCGACGAUCUGUAGCUGGUCUGAGAGGACGACCAGCCACACUGGGACUGAGACACGGCCCAGACUCCUACGGGAGGCAGCAGUGGGGAAUUUUGGACAAUGGGCGCAAGCCUGAUCCAGCAAUGCCGCGUGUGUGAAGAAGGCCUUCGGGUUGUAAAGCACUUUUGUCCGGAAAGAAAACCUCCGCCCUAAUAUGGUGGGGGGAUGACGGUACCGGAAGAAUAAGCACCGGCUAACUACGUGCCAGCAGCCGCGGUAAUACGUAGGGUGCAAGCGUUAAUCGGAAUUACUGGGCGUAAAGCGUGCGCAGGCGGUCCGCUAAGACAGAUGUGAAAUCCCCGGGCUUAACCUGGGAACUGCAUUUGUGACUGGCGGGCUAGAGUAUGGCAGAGGGGGGUAGAAUUCCACGUGUAGCAGUGAAAUGCGUAGAGAUGUGGAGGAAUACCGAUGGCGAAGGCAGCCCCCUGGGCCAAUACUGACGCUCAUGCACGAAAGCGUGGGGAGCAAACAGGAUUAGAUACCCUGGUAGUCCACGCCCUAAACGAUGUCAACUAGUUGUCGGGUCUUCAUUGACUUGGUAACGUAGCUAACGCGUGAAGUUGACCGCCUGGGGAGUACGGUCGCAAGAUUAAAACUCAAAGGAAUUGACGGGGACCCGCACAAGCGGUGGAUGAUGUGGAUUAAUUCGAUGCAACGCGAAAAACCUUACCUACCCUUGACAUGUAUGGAAUCCUGCCGAGAGGUGGGAGUGCCCGAAAGGGAGCCAUAACACAGGUGCUGCAUGGCUGUCGUCAGCUC